This 946-nucleotide ribosomal RNA is filed under the name uncultured Prolixibacter sp. RNAcentral describes it as "bacterial SSU rRNA". It matches the Rfam family "Bacterial small subunit ribosomal RNA", at positions 540 to 1498 of the family's 1533-position model. Lineage: Bacteria; Pseudomonadati; Bacteroidota; Bacteroidia; Marinilabiliales; Prolixibacteraceae. The record is from RNAcentral.
GUUAUCCGGAUUCAUUGGGUUUAAAGGGUGCGUAGGCGGACUAUUAAGUCAGUGGUGAAAUCCUGCAGCUUAACUGCAGAACUGCCAUUGAUACUGAUAGCCUUGAGUUUGGUUAAGGUAGGCGGAAUGCGUAAUGUAGCGGUGAAAUGCUUAGAUAUUACACGGAACACCAAUUGCGUAGGCAGCUUACUGAGCCGACACUGACGCUGAGGCACGAAAGCGUGGGGAUCGAACAGGAUUAGAUACCCUGGUAGUCCACGCCGUAAACGAUGAUUACUCGCUGUUGGCGAUACACUGUCAGCGGCUAAGCAAAAGCGAUAAGUAAUCCACCUGGGGAGUACGGCCGCAAGGUUGAAACUCAAAGGAAUUGACGGGGGCCCGCACAAGCGGAGGAACAUGUGGUUUAAUUCGAUGAUACGCGAGGAACCUUACCUGGGCUUAAAUGUAGAGUGCAUUUUCUAGAGAUAGGAAUUCCCUUCGGGGCUUUCUGCAAGGUGCUGCAUGGUUGUCGUCAGCUCGUGCCGUGAGGUGUCGGGUUAAGUCCCAUAACGAGCGCAACCCUUAUCGUUAGUUGCCAUCUGGUAAAGCAGGGGACUCUAGCGAAACUGCCACCGUAAGGUGAGAGGAAGGUGGGGAUGACGUCAAAUCAGCACGGCCCUUAUGUCCAGGGCUACACACGUGUUACAAUGGUCGGUACAGAGGGCAGCUACCUGGUGACAGGAUGCUAAUCUCGAAAACCGGUCUCAGUUCGGAUCGAAGUCUGCAACUCGACUUCGUGAAGCUGGAUUCGCUAGUAAUCGCGCAUCAGCCAUGGCGCGGUGAAUACGUUCCCGGGCCUUGUACACACCGCCCGUCAAGCCAUGGAAGCUGGGGGUGCCUGAAGUCCGUAACCGAAAGGAGCGGCCUAGGGUAAAACUAGUGACUGGGGCUAAGUCGUAACAAGGUA